GACAGAGGGUGCAAGCGUUACUCGGAAUUACUGGGCGUAAAGCGUGCGUAGGUGGUUUGUUAAGUCUGAUGUGAAAGCCCUGGGCUCAACCUGGGAAUUGCAUUGGAUACUGGCAGGCUAGAGUGCGGUAGAGGGUAGUGGAAUUCCCGGUGUAGCAGUGAAGUGCGUAGAGAUCGGGAGGAACACCAGUGGCGAAGGCGACUACCUGGACCAGCACUGACACUGAGGCACGAAAGCGUGGGGAGCAAACAGG
Molecule: ribosomal RNA, 253 nt
Filed under: uncultured bacterium
Lineage: Bacteria
Description: partial 16S ribosomal RNA
Rfam family: Bacterial small subunit ribosomal RNA
Source: RNAcentral